CGGACGGGUGAGUAAUGUCUGGGAAACUGCCCGAUGGAGGGGGAUAACUACUGGAAACGGUAGCUAAUACCGCAUAACGUCGCAAGUCCAAAGAGGGGGACCUUAGGGCCUCUUGCCAUCGGAUGUGCCCAGAUGGGAUUAGCUAGUAGGUGGGGUAAUGGCUCACCUAGGCGACGAUCCCUAGCUGGUCUGAGAGGAUGACCAGCCACACUGGAACUGAGACACGGUCCAG
This 232-nucleotide ribosomal RNA is filed under the name uncultured bacterium. Its description in RNAcentral is "partial 16S ribosomal RNA". It matches the Rfam family "Bacterial small subunit ribosomal RNA", at positions 99 to 334 of the family's 1533-position model. The record is from RNAcentral.